GUGCUCUCUUCAGCAACACAUAAUACUAAAAUUGGAAUGAUGCAGAGAAGAUUAGCAGGGCCCCUGCACAACGAUGACAUGCAAAUUCAUGAAGUGUUUCAUAUUUUU
Molecule: small nuclear RNA, 108 nt
Filed under: Sciurus vulgaris (Eurasian red squirrel)
Lineage: Eukaryota; Metazoa; Chordata; Mammalia; Rodentia; Sciuridae
Source: RNAcentral